RNAcentral lists this ribosomal RNA (301 nucleotides) under uncultured bacterium. Its description in RNAcentral is "partial 16S ribosomal RNA". It matches the Rfam family "Bacterial small subunit ribosomal RNA", at positions 509 to 807 of the family's 1533-position model. The record is from RNAcentral.
CAGCCGCCACGGUAAUACGGAGGGAGCUAGCGUUGUUCGGAAUUACUGGGCGUAAAGCGCGCGUAGGCGGUUACUCGAGUCAGAGGUGAAAGCCCGGGGCUCAACCCCGGAACUGCCUUUGAAACUAGGUGACUAGAAUCUUGGAGAGGUCAGUGGAAUUCCGAGUGUAGAGGUGAAAUUCGUAGAUAUUCGGAAGAACACCAGUGGCGAAGGCGACUGACUGGACAAGUAUUGACGCUGAGGUGCGAAAGCGUGGGGAGCAAACAGGAUUAGAGACCCCAGUAGUCCCUGUCUCUUAUAC